This 811-nucleotide ribosomal RNA is filed under the name uncultured organism. RNAcentral's name for it is "bacterial SSU rRNA". It matches the Rfam family "Bacterial small subunit ribosomal RNA", at positions 8 to 826 of the family's 1533-position model. The record is from RNAcentral.
AGAGUUUGAUCCUGGCUCAGGAUGAACGCUGGCGGUGUGCUUUAUGCAUGCAAGUCGAACGAUGAAGCAGAGCUUGCUCUGUGAAUUAGUGGCAAACGGGUGAGUACAAGAUAGGCAACCUACCUCGAAGACGGGAAUAUACGGCAGAAAUGCCGGGCAAUAACCGAUAAUGUCUCUUCCUUCAAGGGUUGAGAAGAAAGGUGCAAACCGCUUUGAGACGGGCUUAUCUCCUAUCACGGCAGUUGGUAAGGUAACGGCUUACCAAACCUACGACGGGUAGCUGGUCUGAGAGGACGGUCAGCCACAUUGGGACUGAGACACGGCCCAGACUCCUACGGGAGGCAGCAGCCGGGAAUAUUCGGCAAUGGGCGAAAGCCUGACCGAGCGACACCGCGUGAGCGACGAAGGCCUUCGGGUCGUAAAGCUCUUUUAUUUGGGAAGAAUGCAUAGUAAUAUGUUUGACGGUACCAUUUGAAUAAGCCCCAGCUAACUACGUGCCAGCAGCUGCGGUAAUACGUAGGGGGCAAGCGUUAUCCGGAAUCACUGGGCGUAAAGGGUCCGCAGGUGUCCCGUUAAGUUAGAUGUUAAAUCGCAAGGCUCAACCUUGCGGCUGCAUCUAAUACCGACAGGAUAGAGGAUAGGUGACGGAAGUGGAAUUCCUGGUGGAGAGGUAAAAUCCGUAGAUAUCAGAGGAACACCCGUGGCGUAGCGGCUUCCGAACCUAUUCCUGACACUCAGGACGAAAGCUAGGGAGCAAACAGGAUUAGAUACCCUGUAGUCCUAGCUGUAAACGAUGAAUACUAGAUAGUGG